Molecule: ribosomal RNA, 253 nt
Filed under: uncultured bacterium
Lineage: Bacteria
Description: partial 16S ribosomal RNA
Rfam family: Bacterial small subunit ribosomal RNA
Source: RNAcentral
UACAGGGGGGGCAAGCGUUGUUCGGAAUUACUGGGCGUAAAGGGUCUGUAGGUGGCUUGCUAAGUCAGACGUGAAAGCCCCCAGCUCAACUGGGGAAGUGCCUCGGAUACUGGAUGGCUCGAGGGAGGUAGGGGCAGGGGGAACUUCUGGUGGAGCGGUGAAAUGCGUUGAUAUCAGAAGGAACGCCGGUGGCGAAAGCGCCCUGCUGGAUCUCUACUGACGCUGAGGCGCGAAAGCCAGGGGAGCGAACGGG